Molecule: ribosomal RNA, 661 nt
Filed under: uncultured fungus
Lineage: Eukaryota; Fungi
Description: eukaryotic LSU rRNA
Rfam family: Eukaryotic large subunit ribosomal RNA
Source: RNAcentral
CCCGCUGAACUUAAGCAUAUAACUAAGCGGAGGAAAAGAAACUAACAAGGAUUCCCCUAGUAACGGCGAGUGAAGAGGGAAGAGCUCAAAUUUUGAAUCUGGCGUCUUUGGCGUCCGAAUUGUAAUCUAGAGAAGUGUUUUCCGUGACGGACCGUGCACAAGUCUCCUGGAAUGGAGCGUCAUAGAGGGUGAGAAUCCCGUAUAUGGCAUGGACUGCCGUUGCUCUGUGAUACACUCUCGACGAGUCGAGUUGUUUGGGAAUGCAGCUCUAAAUGGGUGGUAAAUGCCAUCUAAAGCUAAAUAUUGGCGAGAGACCGAUAGCGAACAAGUACCGUGAGGGAAAGAUGAAAAGCACUUUGGAAAGAGAGUGAAACAGUACGUGAAAUUGUUGAAAGGGAAACGCUUGAAGUCAGUCGCGCCGUUCGGGAUUCAGCCUCGCCUCGGCUUGGUGUACUUCUCGGACGACGGGUCAGCAUCAAUUUUGCCCCUUGGAUAAUGGCGAGGGAAAUGUGACACCUUUGCGGGUGUGUUAUAGUCUCUAGUCGCAUGCAAGGGUCGGGAUUGAGGAACUCAGCACGCGCCUUCGGGCGUCGGGGUUCGCCCACGAUACGUGCUUAGGAUGUUGGCGUAAUGGCUUUAAGCGACCCGUCUUGAAACACGG